Molecule: long non-coding RNA, 425 nt
Organism: Phascolarctos cinereus (koala)
Lineage: Eukaryota; Metazoa; Chordata; Mammalia; Diprotodontia; Phascolarctidae
Source: RefSeq, a predicted model, not a curated record
CUCUGUAGUCCAAACUUAUUUUAUAGAUGAGGAAACUGAGGCUGGGCGAUGUGAAGCGGACUGCUGAAGAUCAUAUAAGAAGCCAAUUGAGGCCCAGAAAAGGGAAGUGACAUGCUCAAAGUCACACAGUGAGCUCAUGGGAAAUCCAGGACUCAGACCUACAAUUCCUGAUUCCCAGCUGGGAACCUUUGUGGAGUACAUCAAGCAAAAAGUAGAAUGAGCACAGGGACAGAAUAAUCAUUGUAAGAUGGGCUCUUCCAGCCUUAGAGGCAACCUCAUGAAUCUGAAAGGUCAAGAGCUCCCUCAGUCAGAGCUGACUGGCAGCAGGAAGAAGUUUCAACUAUGGCCUUCCUUGAGAAAAUGAUUACAAAACGAUGAUGAUCUCAAGCUCUGGCCUGACUGUCCAGGCAGCAACGCCUUCUCCA